UAGGGAAUCUUCCACAAUGGACGCAAGUCUGAUGGAGCAACGCCGCGUGAGUGAAGAAGGGUUUCGGCUCGUAAAGCUCUGUUGUUAAAGAAGAACGUGGGUAAGAGUAACUGUUUACCCAGUGACGGUAUUUAACCGGAAAGCCACGGCUAAAUACGUGCCAG
RNAcentral lists this ribosomal RNA (164 nucleotides) under uncultured bacterium. Its description in RNAcentral is "partial 16S rRNA". It matches the Rfam family "Bacterial small subunit ribosomal RNA", at positions 355 to 511 of the family's 1533-position model. The record is from RNAcentral.